CGCACCAUAAGUUACAUACAUUUUAAUCUCCUAAUAACACAACAACACAAAAAAAAAAAAAACUAAAGAUGCCCAAUGAUCUGAGCGAUACGGACACGGCACGAGCACAUCAUGACACGGGCACGACACGAGCACGACACGGGCACGACACGACACGAGCACGGCAUGCCUUGAGCAUGGCACGACACGAGCACGUUUUUGGGGGACACGAGGCACGACACGACAUGCUCGCGGGCCUAGCCAGCCAUAGAAUUUUACGCUCACGCGUCUUAAAAGCACGACACAAUUAGAAAUAAAAGAUCUUCAUAACAUAUAAUUUUCGUCAUGAUGUAAAGACUAUAACCCAUACAUACUCUUAGUUGUUGAGUGAUACUUGUGAACAUUAAUUGUGUUUAAUUUAUUUGUUUGCAAGAGAAAUCAUUCACAUUCUAUAAAACACAACCUGGCUCCGGCUACACAAUUGACCAAUGGCUCAUGUUUUAUUGUACAUAAAUAGUUAAGACUAAGGUCUAUGGUUAAAUUGCAUGUGCAUGAUAAAAUUAGGGAUUUUAAAACUAGAUACAAGUCAAUUGGAAAAAUAAAAGAUUAGAAUUAGAAUCAAUGUUGAAAGAAUAAAUAAUUACACAAAAUUACUUUUAAAAUUAACUAUAGCACUUUCAUAAUUUUAUAAUUCAGUUGAAGCUAUAUA
RNAcentral lists this long non-coding RNA (688 nucleotides) under Citrus x clementina. RNAcentral's name for it is "Citrus clementina (C. clementina) long non-coding RNA (CCLE_LNC004873)". Lineage: Eukaryota; Viridiplantae; Streptophyta; Magnoliopsida; Sapindales; Rutaceae. The record is from RNAcentral.